RNAcentral lists this ribosomal RNA (640 nucleotides) under Glypholoma pustuliferum. RNAcentral describes it as "eukaryotic LSU rRNA". It matches the Rfam family "Eukaryotic large subunit ribosomal RNA", at positions 663 to 1265 of the family's 3401-position model. Lineage: Eukaryota; Metazoa; Arthropoda; Insecta; Coleoptera; Staphylinidae. The record is from RNAcentral.
GGACCAAGGAGUCUAGCAUGUGCGCGAGUCAUUGGGACUAGCGAAACCUAAAGGCGUAAUGAAAGUAAAGGCUCGCCUUGCGCGAGCCGAGGGAAGAUGGGCCGCGUCACGACGCGGCCUCGCAUUCCCGGGGCGUCUCGUUCUCAUUGCGAGAAGAGGCGCACCCAGAGCGUACACGCUGGGACCCGAAAGAUGGUGAACUAUGCCUGGUCAGGACGAAGUCAGGGGAAACCCUGAUGGAGGUCCGUAGCGAUUCUGACGUGCAAAUCGAUCGUCGGAACUGGGUAUAGGGGCGAAAGACUAAUCGAACCAUCUAGUAGCUGGUUCCCUCCGAAGUUUCCCUCAGGAUAGCUGGCGCUCGUUUUGCGAGUCUCAUCCGGUAAAGCGAAUGAUUAGAGGCAUUGGGGUCGAAACGGCCUCAACCUAUUCUCAAACUUUAAAUGGGUGAGAUCUCCGGCUUGCUUAAAGUUGAAGCCGCGAGAUUUCGGAUCAGAGUGCCAAGUGGGCCACUUUUGGUAAGCAGAACUGGCGCUGUGGGAUGAACCAAACGCCGAGUUAAAGCGCCUAAAUCGACGCUUAUGGGAUACCAUGAAAGGCGUUGGUAACUUAGGACAGCAGGACGGUGGCCAUGGAAGUCGGA